Long non-coding RNA from Microplitis mediator, 736 nucleotides. RefSeq lists it as uncharacterized. The transcript is spliced from 3 exons. Lineage: Eukaryota; Metazoa; Arthropoda; Insecta; Hymenoptera; Braconidae. The record is from RefSeq and is a predicted model, not a curated record.
AUCUGGAGGGUGGUUUUUAUACCAGAGUAGCCGUAACCAUUUUAAUUAUACAGAUAAAUGUCACAAAUUAGAUUGGGGUAAACAGGUCAAUGGCGUAUCAAGAAUUGUGUAUCACAGUGUUUCGAACUUACUUGACUUAACUUCAAUAAUGAUUUCCGAAGUAGUUUCAAACAAACAAGGAACGGGAUUUACUUAUCACUUACCAAUUUUUGGAAAUUUAGUUAGAGAACAUUUAACUCUUGCAGCAGAUCCUGAAAAUUAUUCAAUUGUAUGGUCAUGUGAAAAUCGUGGAUCCAAACAUUAUGCAUACUCUUGGGUAUUCAUUCGAAACUUGACACCACCUUCCGAUAUCAAAGAAUAAACGCGAGAAGCAUUUGCUAAAUAUAAUCUCGAGGUACCGGAUAUGGUUACACACGAUCUUAAAGAGUGUUCACGGACUUUUGCAAAGUACGAAUAUUGUGGCUGAUUGCUGUCAUAAUUAAUGUAAAUUUUUGAGCACAUUAACAACAAUAGCGUAGAGUAAUUUUUUUUUUAUCAUUCAUGCAAUAUAAGUGCUAUCUUGGCGCACGCUCUUUUGUUUUUACCGCACUAGUUGUACAAUAUACUAUAAUUUUCAUCAUCAUUUUUCUUAAAAUUAUAGAUUUUUAAAAGUUCGAUAAAUAUCGAUAAAAAUAACUUUUGAGUUUUUUGAUUUUUUUUUAUCUAAAAUAAGAAACUCUUUACAUAUAUAUAUGUC